GCGAGAGUGGCGGAAUUGGCAGACGCACCAGAUUUAGGUUCUGGCGGGGAAACCCGUGCGGGUUCGACUCCCGCCUCUCGCA
Molecule: transfer RNA, 82 nt
Filed under: Phycisphaerae bacterium
Lineage: Bacteria; Pseudomonadati; Planctomycetota; Phycisphaerae
Description: tRNA-Leu
Rfam family: tRNA
About the family: Transfer RNA (tRNA) molecules are approximately 80 nucleotides in length. Their secondary structure includes four short double-helical elements and three loops (D, anti-codon, and T loops).
Source: RNAcentral